GUGAAUCAUCGAAUUUUUGAACGCAAAUUGCACUCUCUGGUAUUCCGGAGAGUAUGCCUGUUUGAGGGUCAGUUUAAAUAAAAAUCGGUUUGGUUGCUGCCUUUUGUGGUGACGCACAGGAUUUGGGUCGUCUUGUCUUCGGUUAAGUGACCUAAAAUUUUGCAUGAUUUUUUUCUAACGUAUUUAAAUUAUUUUACGUACGUUUCUUAUAUCAAAUAAUAAGUAUGUUCAUCCACAUGACUCG
Molecule: unclassified non-coding RNA, 244 nt
Filed under: Glomeraceae sp.
Lineage: Eukaryota; Fungi; Glomeromycota; Glomeromycetes; Glomerales; Glomeraceae
Description: partial contains 5.8S ribosomal RNA and internal transcribed spacer 2
Rfam family: 5.8S ribosomal RNA (bases 1-71)
Source: RNAcentral